UCUGUUUCUUGUUGGAGUAAGUAGACUGGGCAGAUGGAAACUUCGAGUUCGUACGUCAGUUGCAGAAACGUCACAACUCAAAAACUUGAUUCAUCAGUAACGAAAAAUUAAAAGUGUAGCUUAAAAUCUUUAAAUUACUAACCUGUUGACUUGACAGAGAAGCUGCCAACAGUAAAAUGCUUUUCUACAUCGUUUAAUAUAGUGAUUUCGGAUGCAGAGAUUCGAAGACGGGACGAGAAUUCAUUUGCCAUGUAUAGGAAGGUUACUCAGAAUUUAGAUUUAGUGUUGUCUUACAUCGACACAAGUCAUAUUUUGCACUUUUGAGGUUGGAACAGGUGUUGACUUACCGAGUGGGCGAAGCUAUUCUGAAAAUGCCUCGAACUUUCUUGUAAUGGUUACUCCGAAAAAGCAAUUUCC
Molecule: long non-coding RNA, 417 nt
Organism: Stegodyphus dumicola
Lineage: Eukaryota; Metazoa; Arthropoda; Arachnida; Araneae; Eresidae
Source: RefSeq, a predicted model, not a curated record